CUGCAUGAAGCCGGAAUCGCUAGUAAUCGCGGAUCAGAAUGCCGCGGUGAAUACGUUCCCGGGUCUUGUACACACCGCCCGUCACACCAUGGGAGUCGGGAAUGCCCGAAGUCGGUGACCUAACUGCAAAGGAGGAGCCGCCGAAGGCAGGCCCGGUAACUGGGGUGAAGUCGUAACAAGGUAGC
RNAcentral lists this ribosomal RNA (185 nucleotides) under uncultured bacterium. RNAcentral's name for it is "partial 16S ribosomal RNA". It matches the Rfam family "Bacterial small subunit ribosomal RNA", at positions 1316 to 1500 of the family's 1533-position model. The record is from RNAcentral.